AGAGUUUGAUCCUGGCUCAGAGCGAACGCUGGCGGCAGGCUUAACACAUGCAAGUCGAGCGGGCGUAGCAAUACGUCAGCGGCAGACGGGUGAGUAACGCGUGGGAACAUACCUCUUGGUUCGGAACAACACAGGGAAACUUGUGCUAAUACCGGAUAAGCCCUUACGGGGAAAGAUUUAUCGCCGAGAGAUUGGCCCGCGUCUGAUUAGCUAGUUGGUAGGGUAAUGGCCCACCAAGGCGACGAUCAGUAGCUGGUCUGAGAGGAUGAUCAGCCACAUUGGGACUGAGACACGGCCCAAACUCCUACGGGAGGCAGCAGUGGGGAAUAUUGGACAAUGGGGGCAACCCUGAUCCAGCCAUGCCGCGUGAGUGAUGAAGGCCCUAGGGUUGUAAAGCUCUUUUGUGCGGGAAGAUAAUGACGGUACCGCAAGAAUAAGCCCCGGCUAACUUCGUGCCAGCAGCCGCGGUAAUACGAAGGGGGCUAGCGUUGCUCGGAAUCACUGGGCGUAAAGGGUGCGUAGGCGGGUCUUUAAGUCAGGGGUGAAAUCCUGGAGCUCAACUCCAGAACUGCCUUUGAUACUGAAGAUCUUGAGUUCGGGAGAGGUGAGUGGAACUGCGAGUGUAGAGGUGAAAUUCGUAGAUAUUCGCAAGAACACCAGUGGCGAAGGCGGCUCACUGGCCCGAUACUGACGCUGAGGCACGAAAGCGUGGGGAGCAAACAGGAUUAGAUACCCUGGUAGUCC
This 744-nucleotide ribosomal RNA is filed under the name uncultured bacterium. RNAcentral describes it as "bacterial SSU rRNA". It matches the Rfam family "Bacterial small subunit ribosomal RNA", at positions 8 to 796 of the family's 1533-position model. The record is from RNAcentral.